This 332-nucleotide ribosomal RNA is filed under the name uncultured Anoxybacillus sp. Its description in RNAcentral is "bacterial SSU rRNA". It matches the Rfam family "Bacterial small subunit ribosomal RNA", at positions 1051 to 1382 of the family's 1533-position model. Lineage: Bacteria; Bacillati; Bacillota; Bacilli; Caryophanales; Anoxybacillaceae. The record is from RNAcentral.
GUCGUCAGCUCGUGUCGUGAGAUGUUGGGUUAAGUCCCGCAACGAGCGCAACCCUCGACCUUAGUUGCCAGCAUUCAGUUGGGCACUCUAAGGUGACUGCCGGCUAAAAGUCGGAGGAAGGUGGGGGAUGACGUCAAAUCAUCAUGCCCCUUAUGACCUGGGCUACACACGUGCUACAAUGGGCGGUACAAAGGGUCGCGAACCCGCGAGGGGGGAGCCAAUCCCAAAAAGCCGCUCUCAGUUCGGAUUGCAGGCUGCAACUCGACUCCAUGAAGUUGGAAUCGCUAGUAAUCGCGGAUCAGCAUGCCGCGGUGAAUACGUUCCCGGGCCUU